GACGAACGCUGGCGGCGUGCUUAACACAUGCAAGUCGAGCGGUAAGGCCCUUUCGGGGGUACACGAGCGGCGAACGGGUGAGUAACACGUGGGUGACCUGCCCUUAGCUCUGGGAUAAGCCUGGGAAACUGGGUCUAAUACCGGAUAUGACUCCAUAACGCAUGUUGUGGGGUGGAAAGCCUUGUGCGGCUAGGGAUGGGCCCGCGGCCUAUCAGCUUGUUGGUGGGGUGA
This 231-nucleotide ribosomal RNA is filed under the name uncultured bacterium. RNAcentral's name for it is "partial 16S ribosomal RNA". It matches the Rfam family "Bacterial small subunit ribosomal RNA", at positions 28 to 260 of the family's 1533-position model. The record is from RNAcentral.